UACAGAGGGUGCAAGCGUUAAUCGGAAUUACUGGGCGUAAAGCGUGCGUAGGUGGUUUACUAAGUCAGGUGUGAAAUCCCCGGGCUCAACCUGGGAACUGCAGUGGAUACUGGCGGACUAGAGUGUGAUAGAGGAUGGUGGAAUUCCCGGUGUAGCGGUGAAAUGCGUAGAGAUCGGGAGGAACACCAGUGGCGAAGGCGGCCAUCUGGAUCAACACUGACGCUGAGGCACGAAAGCGUGGGGAGCAAACAGG
Molecule: ribosomal RNA, 253 nt
Filed under: uncultured bacterium
Lineage: Bacteria
Description: partial 16S ribosomal RNA
Rfam family: Bacterial small subunit ribosomal RNA
Source: RNAcentral